Molecule: ribosomal RNA, 270 nt
Filed under: uncultured archaeon
Lineage: Archaea
Description: partial 16S ribosomal RNA
Rfam family: Archaeal small subunit ribosomal RNA
Source: RNAcentral
CAGCACCUCAAGUGGUCAGGAUGAUUAUUGGGCCUAAAGCAUCCGUAGCCGGCGCUGUAAGUUUUCGGUUAAAUCUGUACGCUCAACGUACAGGCUGCCGGGAAUACUGCAGCGCGAGGGAGUGGGAGAGGUAGACGGUACUCGGUAGGAAGGGGUAAAAUCCUUUGAUCUAUUGAUGACCACCUGUGGCGAAGGCGGUCUACCAGAACACGUCCGACGGUGAGGGAUGAAAGCUGGGGGAGCGAACCGGAUUAGAUACCCGAGUAGUCC